GCCCAACUACCCCCGUUAACCCCUAGAGCGAGGAGACUGAUCCAUCCACAUCUCGUCUCUCCUUCUCCCUCACCCAGCGCCUCCUCCAUCUCCCGGCUCGUCCCCAAGCAACUGCCCUCGAGGAGUUCCCCGUCCCCGUCGCCGGCCAUGCUGCUACGCUGUCUCCCUCUCCUUCCUUCUUUUCCCUGUGGUUCUUCUUCCACUAACAUCUGUCUCUCUCUUGUUUGCUGCUGAACGUAGGACGCCGCCGCUCCUACCAAAUCCAGCCGCCGCCGGAUCUGCCUCCACCGGACCAGAUCCGUCCGGAUUCGGCUGCCCUCGACCGUCCUCGACCUCAUAUUCUCCUCCAGUCGCCUGAUUGAUGCGCCGCCGACGGAUCUGCCUCCACUGGACCGGAUCCGUCCGGAUCCGGACGCCCUCGACCGCCCUCGGCCUCGUCUGCGACUCCUCCGUCCGGAUUCUGCUGUCCUCGACCGUCCCCGGCCUAGUUUGCUCCUCCCGUCGUGUGAUUUGAUGCCCCACCUAUUCGAUUUCUUCGAUUUCGUGGUGUUGCAAUCUGCUUUUCUUUGAUCGAUUAUUUGAUAGACCGAAUCCUUCCCUUGUGAUUAUUCUCAUCUCUGUGUCCUGAUUUCUGUGGUCGCUUGUUGAAUCAUCAACGUCUACCUAUAUGAACCAGUCAGAUUAGGUGUAAAGAAACGAUGUGGUAUUAUUACUUAGCCAAGUCAUAUAAUUUUUUCGGCAUGAUCCUAGGAAGGCAAGGAGAAAGCCUAUCAGCAUAUGAAGCCCAGUACGGGCGGCGUGGAGGACGCGUCACGAAUCUGAAAUAUGGAACACUUUUUUUUUUCACUUAUAUGUUGGACUGCGGGUUAAUUAGUUAAAACCAUAAGGGGCUUUUUGUAAAUAGUGCACGGUGACGGACGACAGAAACCCAAUUUUCUUUAUUAUUAUUAGGUAAAGAUAAAGACUCGGUAGUACUCUCUCUCUCUCAGUAUUUUUUUCUCUCUUCUUCGGCCUUCGCAAUGCUCCGAAGUUCGCCAGGAUAUUCACCUGCCUCUGCUCUGCACGCGUGGUACUGACGCGGUGUUUAUCUCAAGAAGAAGCGCGCGCGCAUGCAUCAAGAAGGAGGAGGACGGAUUUUCGUACCUACCUUGAUCCACUCGAACUUUGAAAGUCCGGGCUUUUACUUUCCGCGUCAUAUUUAUGCAAGCGGGCCCGAGCCGAAGCUGUACUGAAACUACUGAAGAAGUGUUCAACUGUCCCACUCCAGGUUCAGUUUGCGAAUGGCAGCGACCGACGCGCACGAGACAGGUCUUUGAUGGACUGCUGUGAUGCAUCCAUCUUAGUUACCGUUUCGUCUAAACUCCAACACUGUUCUCUUCGCCAGUGUUCACCCUCGGUUAAGACACUGUUCACUUGCAGCCGGACCGGCCGUAGAGUGGGACAGAGAAGAAAUUACCUGUUCGGUAAGCAGUCUCCGUUAGGAGUCCUAAUCUGAAUUUUCUAUUACGAGUGCCUAAUCGUGCUGACGCGUGGUUCGCAAGAUUCCUCAACCCAGCUCGACAGAUGUCCACCGAGCAAAGCAUGCAUGGAGUGUGCGCGAGGUGUCGAGCCACGGGAGCUCGGCGCUGCCACGUCCGCCGGCGUCCAAUUCUUCUAGGUUACCGGUCGAGCCGAUCAGCUCUAGCGCCGCACUUCAGUAGCCCUGCUCUGCUUGCUCACUCUCCCACGACAAGCUAGCGCCAUCGACCAUAUCAUCUCAUUCUCAUAGUCAUCGGAGAAGAAAGGCUCUGCGAGAAGAGGGAUUUGAUUGCGAUGGGUUCGGAGACGUUCGUGGAGAUCCUGCUGGCCAUCCUGCUGCCGCCGGUCGGCGUCUUCCUCCGCUACGGCAUCGGCGUAAGCUCCUCCCAAACCUACGCAUAUUUAUGAACUGCUGCUGCCGGUGCUAGCUAAUUCACCUACGAGUCAAGCUGCCUGUCGAUCUACCGGUGUGUGAUGGGUUUGGUGCAUGUGCAGGUGGAGUUCUGGAUCUGCCUGCUGCUCACGGUGCUGGGCUACAUCCCCGGCAUCAUCUACGCCAUCUUCGUCCUCGUCGCAUAGGCAUAGCUUGUUCAUCAAUUGAUCAGAUCGGACUCGUGGAGAUAGAUAGAUAGAUAGAUCCAGAGGCAUCUUUGCUCCAGUUGCUCUAGCUGUUCAUGGAUGAUGAGAUGACUGGCGCAUCGGUGUAAGCAGGAUCUCAUCUCUGCGCCAUGAAUAACCACCCUGCAUGCCGGUUCAGUUACUAGACCAGCUACUACUGUUUUUCUACUGUUGUGCUGACCGGAGCGCUAUGUACUGCCGUUCUGUGCGUAUGAUUAUGCGUAUCGAUAUCACUUCUCCAAAUUAAUCUGUAUGCACGUAUGUAUC
This 2403-nucleotide ribosomal RNA is filed under the name Triticum aestivum (bread wheat). RNAcentral describes it as "partial small subunit ribosomal RNA". The record is from RNAcentral. Lineage: Eukaryota; Viridiplantae; Streptophyta; Magnoliopsida; Poales; Poaceae.